This 460-nucleotide ribosomal RNA is filed under the name uncultured bacterium. RNAcentral's name for it is "partial 16S ribosomal RNA". It matches the Rfam family "Bacterial small subunit ribosomal RNA", at positions 338 to 795 of the family's 1533-position model. The record is from RNAcentral.
CCUACGGGAGGCAGCAGUGAGGAAUAUUGGUCAAUGGCCGUAAGGCUGAACCAGCCAAGUCGCGUGAAGGAAGAAGGAUCUAUGGUUUGUAAACUUCUUUUAUAGGGGAAUAAAGGUAUCCACGUGUGGAUAUUUGCAUGUACCCUAUGAAUAAGCAUCGGCUAACUCCGUGCCAGCAGCCGCGGUAAUACGGAGGAUGCGAGCGUUAUCCGGAUUUAUUGGGUUGAAAGGGUGCGUAGGUUGUUGUUUAAGUCAGCGGUGAAAGUUUGUGGCUCAACCAUAAAAUUGCCGUUGAAACUGGAAGACGUGAGUGUGUUUGAGGUAGGCGGAAUGCGUGGUGUAGCGGUGAAAUGCAUAGAUAUCACGCAGAACUCCGAUUGCGAAGGCAGCUUACUAAGCCAUAACUGACACUGAAGCACGAAAGCGUGGGGAUCAAACAGGAUUAGAUACCCCUGUAGUC